CAGCCGCCGCGGUAAUACCGGCGGCCCGAGUGGCGGCUACUAUUAUUGGGCUUAAAGCGUCCGUAGCCGGGUUGGUUAGUCUCCCGGGAAAUCUGGCCGCUUAACGGUCAGAAUUCCGGGAGAUACUGCCAGCCUAGGGACCGGGAGAGGCCGAGGGUAUUCCCGGAGGAGGGGGGAAAUCCUAUAAUCCCGGGAGGACCACCUGUGGCGAAGGCGCUCGGCUGGAACGGGUCCGACGGUGAGGGACGAAGGCCAGGGGAGCAAACCGGAUUAGAUACCCGGGUAGUCCUGGCGGUAAACGAUGCGGACUUUGUGUCGGACAAGCUAUGAGCUUGUCCGGUGCCGGAGGGAAACCGUUAAGUCCGCCGCCUGGGGAGUACGGCCGCAAGGCUGAAACUUAAAGGAAUUGGCGGG
RNAcentral lists this ribosomal RNA (414 nucleotides) under uncultured microorganism. Its description in RNAcentral is "bacterial SSU rRNA". It matches the Rfam family "Archaeal small subunit ribosomal RNA", at positions 459 to 872 of the family's 1478-position model. The record is from RNAcentral.